GGCCGGUUAGCACAAUUGGUAGUGUGUCUGACUACGAAGAUCCAUUGGAUCGAGGAACAUCAGGAGGUUGCGGGUUCGAGCCCCGUGCUGGUCA
Non-coding RNA from Malassezia brasiliensis, 94 nucleotides. Lineage: Eukaryota; Fungi; Basidiomycota; Malasseziomycetes; Malasseziales; Malasseziaceae. The record is from the annotation of a GenBank genome assembly.